Molecule: ribosomal RNA, 489 nt
Filed under: uncultured bacterium
Lineage: Bacteria
Description: partial 16S ribosomal RNA
Rfam family: Bacterial small subunit ribosomal RNA
Source: RNAcentral
GACGAACGCUGGCGGCGUGCUUAACACAUGCAAGUCGAACGGUGAAGGGACCAGCUUGCUGGUUCUGGAUGAGUGGCGAACGGGUGAGUAACACGUGAGUAACCUGCCCCCUUCUUCUGGAUAACCGCAUGAAAGUGUGGCUAAUACGGGAUAUUCUGGGUCUGUCGCAUGGCGGGCCCGGGAAAGAUAUUGCUUCGGUGGGGGAUGGGCUCGCGGCCUAUCAGCUUGUUGGUGGGGUGAUGGCCUACCAAGGCGGUGACGGGUAGCCGGCCUGAGAGGGUGGACGGUCACACUGUGACUGAGACACGGCCCAGACUCCUACGGGAGGCAGCAGUGGGGAAUAUUGCACAAUGGGCGCAAGCCUGAUGCAGCGACGCCGCGUGAGGGAUGGAGGCCUUCGGGUUGUAAACCUCUUUCGCCAGUGAAGCAGGCCUGCUCCUUGUGGGUGGGUUGACGGUAGCUGGAUAAGAAGCGCCGGCUAACUACGUG